AUUUGAAUUAGCCCGCUUCAUCACGAAAGGGGUCGCGUGACCGUAUACGAUAAAAUAAAUAGUAGCCAGAGCCAUGAAAAUUUAAUACAGACCCGAGGUUCCUUUUCGCCUGCCAGACGGGAGUUUUGCCAUUCUCCGGUAGGCUAUAUAAUAAAAAUGCAAUGGCAACUUCAACAAAUGGUUUUUUUACAGCAAAAUCGUUACUGACAGGCCAAAAAUAUACACACGAGACAAAGGUUCACAAUCCUUGGAUCGAUGCCUUCUCAGAUCCAAAAGCUGAUCUGCAAACUUUCAGCACCUGUAUGGCCCUUUCUGAUCUCAAUGCGGAUAAUGACUAUAAAUUGAUCUUGGGUGAUUUCGGAAAUGGGAUUCAAGUAAAACUGAAAGUUUACAAAGGUACAUCUCUAAAUGUGGAACUUCCUCUUUUAACUCAGCCAGUAGCCAUUGUCUGCCUUUAUACUGAUCGUACUGACCCUCGAAUACCAGGGAUAGCUGUUGCUACAGGAUCGAAUGUCCUAGUCUAUCGAAAUUGCCGACCAUAUUUCAAAUUUACCCUUCCACCACAAGAAGGUAGCAGCUUGGAAGCAGACGUAUGGAGUGAAAUAUCAAAUGCCGAUCAGCUAAUACAAGUUUUAAAAGAUCUGAGUCUGGAAUUGGGGUUUACCAAUUUAAGCUCACCGAGCCAGAAUGUACUCUUAAUGGAUCCUUCAUUGAGAGAUGAGUUCAUAUCAAGUAACACACAUUUUAUGAUUAAAAAACAAAUGGUGAUAACAUGUGUUACAACUUUACGCAAAUACGCUGAUAAUGACAGAGACGUUUCUUGCGUCUUACUCGCAACUGAAAGUGCACAAUUGUUUGUAAUGGAUCCUGAAACAUUUACACUGGUCAAUGAAUUCAAGUUGCCAGAUGUGUGCUGCAAUAUAGCAGCUUAUGGAGUUUACUUGGUUGAGUACUGCGUACUAAUGUCUUUCAGAAAUGGCUCUCUAUUUGCUUUACGAGGAAACAGUUUACGCUAUAUUACCCAAUUAUUUUCUUUGCCUGUUUCUAUCAAUUUGUUUACUAACAAAAUAGUUACUGCUAAUAUGGACAGCUCUCUUAGUUGCUAUAAUAUGAAGGGAAGAAAAUAUUGGGCUGUCAAGCUACCAGACAACCCUCUUUACAUGACUGAUAUACUGCUUUCAAGUUUUGCACUACACUUGAUAGCUGUUGCUUUAUCAAAAGGAAACAUAUAUUUUUACAAUGAUUCUACAUUAGUACAUGUGUUGACUACUCUGGAACCAAUCUAUUCUAUGAUCUUUGGAAAGUAUGGGCAAGAGGAGCAUGCUCUAAUUUCAAUAUCUUCCAGUGGAGCUUUAGACAUACGGCUUUUGAAAAGAACUGCUCAGUUCAGCAAUGAUUAUGCCAGCUAUAUUCAGCAUAAUGCUGGAAUAAGGCCACAUGACAUAAAGUUCCUUGUACCCAAAAAAAGCAAAUUAUUUCUGGAACAGUCUCUUAGGGAAAGACAAAAAUGCCGAGAAAUGCAUACUUGGUUUCAUCAUUCAUGGACAAGUCUCAAAGUGCUUACAAGUGAAUCUUAUAUAAGUGCACUGCACAAUGCAUCAGUGACUCAUAACGAAUCACUUAAAAUGAUUGUAGAGGUCGUGGGUUUGGGACCAAGAAUGAAAAUCAGAAUGAUAUUGCAGAAUAUGUCUCCGAACAUUGUACCAGUAGAUCUCAAAGUUACUUUUAUAUAUGAACCAAAGCUGUAUGUUCUACACAAUCCUAUAUUAUAUGUACCGAUGUUGGUGAGAGGGACCAAAUAUUUCUUAGAAACUUUUGUCACAUGCCAAAUGCCUGUUGUGGGUCUUAUAAGGGUUCUUGUUGUCUCUUCAGCUGUACUUUUAUCAACCACUGUUAAUAUGCCAGAUUGUUGAGCCUGAUAAAAAUUGACAACCUCGGUGUUCACAAUCUCUAAAACAGUGUGUUCUGGAUGGAUGCAGACAAAAUCUCCCCAGGCUAAACAAAAGCCUUUUGAUCUCGAAUAAUUUUCAGGCAAUAUUAUGAAAAAUUAGAUCAAAAGAAAGAGGAUAAGUUAAAAGAAGCAAUUAUGAAAAGGAAUGCCAAGGUGGCACAAAUAAUUGGAACUACCUACUGAGAUUCGUGUGUCACCUGAUUUUCAGAGGUUAACCUUACAGUGUUCAUGGGAUAUUUUAAGUACUAAGGUAACUGUUAUGGAGAGGUCAAUGGUGUUGCCAUGGGUGUAACACAGUUCCCUUCCUAAGCAUUAUUGAUUGAAUUGCUGAUUAUGAAUGGAUUGUUGGA
RNAcentral lists this unclassified non-coding RNA (2301 nucleotides) under Cimex lectularius (bed bug). RNAcentral's name for it is "bardet-Biedl syndrome 1 protein homolog, transcript variant X1". Lineage: Eukaryota; Metazoa; Arthropoda; Insecta; Hemiptera; Cimicidae. The record is from RNAcentral.